CAUUGAAACACAGGUUCCCGCGCGAUCACCGAAGUAAAGCAAUGUCGAGCUUAGUCAGUACCAAGAUGGGUGACCGCGUGGGAAUACAAGAUGCUGUAAG
Molecule: non-coding RNA, 100 nt
Organism: Acanthosepion pharaonis
Lineage: Eukaryota; Metazoa; Mollusca; Cephalopoda; Sepiida; Sepiidae
Source: the annotation of a GenBank genome assembly